Peromyscus maniculatus bairdii (prairie deer mouse) is the source of this 5361-nucleotide non-coding RNA. Lineage: Eukaryota; Metazoa; Chordata; Mammalia; Rodentia; Cricetidae. The record is from RefSeq and is a predicted model, not a curated record.
ACUCUGGCUGCUAGUCAGUCAGGCUGCAAGAUUCUCCGGACCACCAUGGCCUGGCUCACUUGCUUCUCCCGCCGACUCCUUACACCCUCUGCAGGACCCAUUCACCACCGGGGAUGGCUCCCGGCAACUGGCACCUGGAACGUGGACUUACAGAGAAAAUCCUCCCACUCCAGUACCACGGAGUCAGUUCAGAACAGUGAGAAAAUCCUCAAGGAUGUGAUUUUUCAACUAAAAUACUGUCUAGAGCUCCAGCCUUCUAACUAGCUUCCCCCCCAUGGAGCUUCUGGACUAAGCAAAAGACGGCUGACAGACUCAUGGAAGAACCGCAAAUGUGAUGACCGUACGUGAAGGGGAUGCGUGGGCAGCAGCUUGGGAAGCUCUGGAAUAAACACGUCCACCAAGAAUUUGCCCUGGAGAAAAACUCAAACUAGACAGGGAAGGGAGGAGCGUAUGGAAGGCCCAGACCCCAGAGACAGAACAGGGGCAAAGGUUAAAGAAUACUGCGGGUCUGGGGGAGGGGGAGUACAGGCCACCUCUGGAGCUGCCCUUGAUCCCUUGGUUCCCCGUGAUCUUUAACACUGGGGUCUUGGGGCUUUAUCCCAGGAACAAUGGAAGCUUAUGAAGAGCUUCAGGCACAAAAAGACUAACAGGUAUUUAAAAGUCUCAGGUAAGGCUUGAGAUUUUGUGAUUAUUAGAUCAAAUAGGAUCAUGCUUUUAUAACACCAAACUUUAUAACAUCAUGUUUAAAGAGCAUCUCUCUGGAAUUUUUACUUUGGGUGAUACAUUUUUUUCAAUCUAUUUACCCAUUUUUAACACACACACACACACACACACAUUUUCAAGACAGCUGAUGUACAAACUGGCAUUGUUGUAAGACAGUCACUAAGCUUCCUCAUUGAAUGUACCAAGAAACCAGCCAUGCACCUUCACACAUGACCCAAGGGCUGUAGCCUUAUCUUAAGACAACACUAGGAUUUGGGUAAAUCUGAAGCACAACCCCAAUAAACAGAGAUUUCAACAAAAAAGACUUGGAAAGCAUAGACUUAAAAUGUUACAGGCAAAUGCAAGUCACUUACCUAUGGUUGUGAAUUUGAAGAAGCCAGGAGAAGCAAGAGACUCCACUGUGGAAAGUCAGGGUUGUACACCCCUUUCCAAGUUCAGCUUACAUCGUAAUGAAGCAUUGAACAGAAAUCAGGCCUUUUCCAGGACACUAUUUGCUUAUAGGUCAAUGCCCUAAAGUCCAGAUCUAGCACAGUUCAGCACCAUGAGAGGAAAGGUCAACCAUACUCAGAGCAGUAACCCCCAAACCCAGAGUGCACUAGGAACCUUCCGAGGCUAUCAACAAGCUCUAGAAAGAGCUAUUUGCCUUAGAAUGAGGCCUAAUGGUAGAGAGCCUGCAAGAGGCCUGACUCUUCUUUUGUAAGCCCUUGAUUUUAAAAAUUUACUUUAAAAAUCUAACAAGACAAAAAUACUGCUAGUCUUCUUGCCUCGAUUUGAAGUGGCCCUUGUGACAUCCUGGGGUUGUGGGUCCUUGGUGAUCUGGAACCAGCCCACCUGGCUUUGUGGAGAAUUGAUAUCAUGCAAUUGUCUUCUUGCUCAGAGGUCUGAGCACACAGGUGACCCUUGAACCCUGGCCUGAUUGGUUACUGACAGUAACCACAAGCUCUACCCACCAGCCACAGUAGAAAUGCGUGACUUUAAAAACACAUUUCCAUUAACAAAGACUCAAGGCAAAUAAAUGCUUAGAGCUACCCAGGUCUCCUUUUCUGUCUUCUUACUAUUAACUCCAUCUAUUUCUAAAAACAAAAAAGAAAAAAGUGUAGUCUUUUUUUUUUUUUACUAUUUUUCUUCUUUAUUAAUUUGAAUUACAUUUUUUAGAAGUAAUACAGUCUUAUGAUUCAAAAUGCUAUUUAUUUUUUAUCUUUCUCCUUGCAAAGGGUUAGUAGUAAGAUUGUGAAUGUGGGGUCACAACGUGUACCCCAAGUCAGGGCUGGCCACCUGUCAUUUAUAAGUCAAUAAAAACAUGCAAAUUAAUAAUGGAAAGCAGAAAAAGGAGAUUUUAUUCAGUGAACACUCAGUCCCUGGGCUCUUGAAGUAAGAUCAAAGUUUAAAUAGAGCACCAAUGAAAUGCACAUCUAAGCAGCUCCAGUAAAGGUGUGGUCCUGCCGCCCCCCACCACCACCACUGACUGUGCUUCAGUCUUGCUCCUGUAAGGUAGUCUGACUAGUUGUUAGAACUGUUUGAAGCCUCAAGAGACAACCCCAAGCCCGACCCUGCUGGUAUCUCUUCCUUCUCCCAGUGGGAGAUUCUCAAGGAAAUUUCCAUUUCUUUGGGGUGCACUGCUCCUGUAGUCUGAUGGUCAGAUUGAGAGACACAAAGUGGCUCUUUAGAAGGUUUUCAUUUCUUCCAAGCCAGACCAUGAGAAAGACCUUCCUAAAGCAUGCCCACCAUGCCAGCAGAUGGCUAUUGAGCAAAAAGCCUGGAUGUUGCAAUACAGUGGCAUGCAUGUUUACCUAAGGGGGUGAAGACAGGCCAAGAAUGACUUUCAGAGGCAGGGAGAUGAAUUGCAGUCUGAGAAUGAAAUAUCAGCCCAGCGGCACAGAAUAACAGGGAAUGGCCACCUGUGAACUCUUUUGCUUCAUUAUUAUCACCCUGCAGAUCAAUAUGAGUUGUAAAAAUUCAGAACUCAUCAUCUUGUUAUGCCCAGGUUGUGGAGACCCCCAAAAGACCAUCACAUAGACCGAAUCCCAUAUGUAAAAGCAAAGAGCCUUUAUUUUCAAGCUCGGAGCUUGGACUCUCUGCUGAUGAAGUGGUAAGAGCAGAGAGCCCCAAGCCCAGGCAGGGUGGACAUUUUAUCAUAGCAGAGGUUAGGGUGAGGGGGUUUCUAGGGUGCAGGACCCUGAUUGGCUGACAUUUGUCUAGGGGUAUAGGGAAUGUUUGUAAUGGCAGGUAUUUCCCCUUAGAUGCAGGCCCUCCCUGGGUGGUCAGCUCAUGGCUCUUUCUGGAUCCUGGUGUUACCCACCAGUUAGCCUAUUACAGAAGCUGUGUCUGGGCCUCUAAGCCUGUCGUGGCAGUUGUGUGGUCAAGCUAUUUUGGGCUCCCCCACAUUCUCUCCUUCACAAGUGCCAAUGACAGGACUCAAUCACGAGUCCUAUCUACCCAGGGGUUCAAGGGUAUUGGGACCUAAGAACCACAGAUUUUUCUAGGUCAGGGACAUCUGUGUCUAUUGCUAUUCUUAAGGCCCUGUAGCACUGAUCUUUGAAUACAACUAGAUUAUAAUCUUGAAUAAUAUGUUUAAGGCCAUAUAUUACCUCUUUGGUUCUUCACAAAGAGAAUCAAGUAUCUUAUCCAGUUGCAGAGCCAUUUUAGUUAAUAAAUUUAUCAACUGACAACUCUGAACUUGUUUUCCUAGUCUGUCAAUGGGCAUUAUAGUUAACCGUUUUGUCCCCUAUGCCAUGGAGUUUCCUUUUUGACCCAGCAUUUCAACCUAUUUUUGGCAGAGGAUGUGGGACAACAUUCUCUUGUGAAAAUGCUUUGAGCUGACUUUGGGGCAUUGUUGUCAGGGUUCCAAAAAAUGCUGAAAAGCUACUCAAAGGCUGGGCAAUGGGGCAUCUGUCAGAAGCAUGUGGCUAUCUGUUCCAGCUGUAGAGAUGGGGAACAAUCAUGUUGGCUGGGCUGGUCCACAUCAGCUUUUAGUGAAUCCCGAGCUUCGAGUUGUUUGGAGCAGUGUAGUCAGCAGCUGAAGCUUCGAGUUGACUGUCAACCAAGUGGAAACCUGGUGAGACAAUUUUAAAUUAGGAACAGAAGUCAAAAUUUAUAAAUUUAUUUGGAACUUUUAGGCCCAUAGUCUUUAGUAAUUGGGAAGGGCAGGAGUCCCAAGACCAGGAGAGAGAAAAAAUAUUAUCCGUAGGAAUAGACAAGUAGUCAAAAUUUAAGCUGUACUUUUCUGGAGUCCUUCUAACCUCUGUGAAGUGGACCCAAGUUUUAUGACUCUUUUAAUCCUCUGAGGCCUGUAUAAAUUAUCUUACAAAAUGACAUAAAAGUUUUAGAUAUAUUAGGAUUACCAAUCUGUACUGAAAACCAUAUCAUAGACAAAGCAAGUCAUAGGUAUCUGUAAAACAGCAGAAGUAAACUCAUACCUUUUAUGAGUCCUAGCAAAAAAUACAGAUUUAGGUUAAAAGCACAUGGAUUUUACUUCUGUCCAGAGAGCCAGGUAUAAAUUGGACAGAGUUUUUUUUUUGGCCUGAUGAAAAGCACUUUUAAGUUUAUAUUUAGAUGACAACUAAAAUAAAUCUAAAAUGUUGAGCUUGUGUCUGAACAGUAAGUAGUCACUGCUCUACCAGCUUAUCAGAACUCUAUUAAAUGUUAAUUAAGCUCUAAACUUUUAUAUCAUAGAAGGGGAAAGCAAUCUGAAACAUUUUUCAUAAUUUAAAUCGUUUAUUUAUAUCUUUAUAAUUUGCAUUUAUAUCUUAAGUCAUUUUUUGAGAUCCUCAAAGUUUAUAAGCUUUUAUAUCUUCAGAACUUUAUAUAUCUUAAAACAUUCUUAGACCCUCAAAACUUGUAUAGACGUUCAUAUCCUUAUACCUUUUUUUCAGAUCCAUAUUUAAACCUUUAUGACUUAUUUAAACUUUCAUAUCUUAGAACACUUUCUUAAAAAUGAGCUAACAAGCUGGCUAUAGCCUUGUGGAAGGAUCUGGUUAUCUGAUGCUACCAAGCUGACAAAGUUAUAGCUAGCCUAGCUGUCAGUACUAUCAGAGAUCUGAGAAGGAUAAAUUAUACCUGAGUGCAGACCAAGCAGCUUCCGUUCUAUAAAUGACAGCGACUAGUCCAUACCCAGGUUUCCAUAGCAUUAGAGGCACAAGUAUCAGAACAACAUCAAUCUUCUUUGGCCAUCAGGCCCAUAAGGAGAAAGUUUUUCCUAUAAAAGAGGGACACGAGGAAGACUGAUCUUAGUUUGUCUAGGCAAAAGAAAUGCAAUCGAUUCUCCAGUGUCCUGCUGCUUGUCCACAGACUUCGUCAGGUCCUGACAGCAGGUGUUGUAUCAGGGCAUCUCACUCUGUGGUCAGGAUUGCCAUAAUCCAGCUGGAGACAUUGUGGUGCCCCGUAAUCUUCUUUGCAGACCUUGGAUCACUGCUAAGAUCUGGGAGUCUGUCUGAUAUAAUAAGCUUUUAGAUCAACAUAUUCUGCAGAUCACUGAAGUAUGAGAGCUGUCCAGGGAUAUCUGAACAGACAAACUUUUAUUCUAGUUACUUGUUUUAAACUCAACCCUGAAAACAUAUGCAAGGGACUAAGUAAAGCUUAUCCCUGUAAUUAAUUACAUCAGUACUUAGCAUGACUACAAUUAAAGAACUUGAUUAUUUA